Molecule: transfer RNA, 67 nt
Filed under: Ictidomys tridecemlineatus (thirteen-lined ground squirrel)
Lineage: Eukaryota; Metazoa; Chordata; Mammalia; Rodentia; Sciuridae
Description: Spermophilus tridecemlineatus (thirteen-lined ground squirrel) tRNA
Rfam family: tRNA
About the family: Transfer RNA (tRNA) molecules are approximately 80 nucleotides in length. Their secondary structure includes four short double-helical elements and three loops (D, anti-codon, and T loops).
Source: Rfam by way of RNAcentral
GGUUGUGGUUCAGUGGUAAAGCACUUACCUAGCAUGCAUGAGGCCCUGGGUUCAAUCCCCAGCACCA